ACGGCUCAGUAACACGUGGCUAACCUACCCUUAGGACGGAGACACCCCCGGGAAACUGGGGCUAAUACCCGAUAGGUGAGGAGGCCUAGAAUGGUUCUUCGCUGAAAAGGCGUUGAAACCAUGCUUUUCAACGUCGCCUAAGGAUGGGGCCGCGCCCGAUCAGGUUGUUGGUGAGGUAACGGCUCACCAAGCCUAUAACCGGUACGGGCCGUGAGAGCGGGAGCCCGGAGAUGGGCACUGAGACAAGGGCCCAGGCCCUACGGGGCGCAGCAGUCGCGAAAACUCCGCAAUGCGCGAAAGCGUGACGGGGCUACCCCGAGUGCCGUCCGCUGAGGAUGGCUUUUCCCCGGUGUAAUGAGCCGGGGGAAUAAGGAGAGGGCAAGACUGGUGUCAGCCGCCGCGGUAAUACCAGCUCUCCGAGUAGUAGGGACGAUUAUUGGGCUUAAAGCGUCCGUAGCCGGCUUAGCAAGUCUCCUGUUAAAUUCAGCGACCUAAUCGUUGAGCCGCGGGAGAUACUACUAGGCUAGGAGGCGGGAGAGGCCGACGGUAUUCCCGGGGUAGGGGUGAAAUCCUAUAAUCCCGGGAGGACCACCAGUGGCGAAGGCUGUCGGCUAGAACGCGCUCGACGGUGAGGGACGAAAGCUGGGGGAGCGAACCGGAUUAGAUACCCGGGUAGUCCCAGCUGUAAACGAUGCGGGCUAGGUGUUGAGGUGGCUACGAGCCACUUCAGUGCCGCAGGGAAGCCAUUAAGCCCGCCGCCUGGGGAUGUACGGCCGCAAGGCUGAAACUUAAAGGAAUUGGCGGGGGAG
This 809-nucleotide ribosomal RNA is filed under the name uncultured archaeon. RNAcentral describes it as "bacterial SSU rRNA". It matches the Rfam family "Archaeal small subunit ribosomal RNA", at positions 85 to 876 of the family's 1478-position model. The record is from RNAcentral.